GACGAACGCUGGCGGCAUGCCUAAUACAUGCAAGUCGAACGAGUUCCCGUUGAUUGACGUGCUUGCACUGAUUUCAACAUUGGAACGAGUGGCGAACUGGUGAGUAACACGUGGAAAACCUGCCCAGAAGCAGGGGAUAACACUUGGAAACAGGUGCUAAUACCGUAUAACAACAAAAACCGCAUGGUUUUUGUUUGAAAGGUGGCUUCGGCUAUCACUUCUGGAUGGUUCCGCGGCGCAUUAGCUUGUUGGUGGGGUAACGGCUCACCAAGGCGAUGAUGCGUAGCCGACCUGAGAGGGUAAUCGGCCACAUUGGGACUGAGACACGGCCCAGACUCCUACGGGAGGCAGCAGUAGGGAAUCUUCCACAAUGGACGCAAGUCUGAUGGAGCAAUGCCGCGUGAGUGAAGAAGGGUUUCGGCUCGUAAAACUCUGUUGUUGAAGAAGAACGGGUGUCAGAGUAACUGUUGACAUCGUGACGGUAUUCAACCAGAAAGCCACGGCUAACUACGUGCCAGCAGCCGCGGUAAUACGUAGGUGGCAAGCGUUGUCCGGAUU
Molecule: ribosomal RNA, 558 nt
Filed under: uncultured Lactobacillus sp.
Lineage: Bacteria; Bacillati; Bacillota; Bacilli; Lactobacillales; Lactobacillaceae
Description: bacterial SSU rRNA
Rfam family: Bacterial small subunit ribosomal RNA
Source: RNAcentral